GAACCCUUCCUCUAUUCUUCAUGUUGCACAGACGCGGCACUACUGUGCCAUUAAUGUCACGGUACCGGUGCUGCAACGGUACUAUGGAGGGGAGGACACCCGCCCGGACUUCAGGCUGGGCACAGACGCCAUGCAGCACCUGAUGGUGGUCCUGAAGACUGACAGGCAGCACGGGUGGGGGCCGACCCUGGAGACACUCGUGUUCCUGUUCUGGCUGGCCACCGGUUCAGCCUACCGAGUUGUCUCCAGGGUCUUCUGUAUGCCUCUACCUACGGUGCACAGGGUGGUCCACAGGAUGGUGGAUGAGGUCGUAGCUGUGCUCCCUCAGUUCGUCAACUUCCCCCGCACACAGGAGGAGCUCCAGGUGGUCAACUUCCCCUGCACACAGGAGGAGCUCCAGGUGGUCAACUUCCCCUGCACACAGGAGGAGCUCCAGGUGGUCAACUUCCCCUGCACACAGGAGGAGCUCCAGGUGGUCAACUUCCCCUGCACACAGGAGGAGCUCCAGGUGGUCGGGGAUGGCUUUGCCCGGCUGGCUCAUCACCGGGCAUUUGAGAAGGCAGCAGGGGCAGUGGAUGGUUGCCACAUCCGUAUUAAAUGUCCUGGCGGCCCUGAUGGUCACGACUACAACAACAGGAAACUCUUCCCCUCUGUGGUGCUCCAGGCAGUCUGUGACCAUCAUUGUGGGUUACCCAGGUGGUGACGGCGUGUGUAAUUUUACACAACAUUUGUGUUGGUGUUGGGGAUGAGCUGGAAGAGGCUGUGGAGGACAAUGACAACCAGCUACCUCUGGAGCGCGAUGGUGGGGAGAGCCGGAGUGGAGCUGCUUGGCGAGCCGCGCUGACCAACGAGGUGUCUGCAUUUCAUGAGGCACCUCUGGAUCUCGAAUAUUUUUCCCAGGCUCUGGUUUGUGACUCAGAUGCUGAGGGAAACACACAGACUCGGGGAGGCAGUUGAAGUGUUUAUUCACACAACCGGAAUCAAACAGAGGGAUUGUUCAGGGUUGAGUGGUUCCAGGAGGCGAGCGGCGAGGAGAGUUGAAUGGCGAAGUGAGCAGGCAGCAGGCGAGCAGGCAGCAAUUGAAGCUGUGUGGCAAGGUGAGCAGGCAGCAGGUGAACAGGCAGCAAUGUCAGAGCGGAAUCUGGACAGAGAAGAUGCUGUUUAACAAGGGCACACUGAAAUUGUCUAGAACGCAUAGGGACUAGGAUGUCUGAGGGUUUGCAGAACCAAGUUACCACAGGUAAUGUUGUAACGGAGUGGCGCUGAAGAGGUGAACAGCCCAGGUUGAUAUCUGCUGGUU
Long non-coding RNA from Esox lucius (northern pike), 1300 nucleotides. The record is from Ensembl. NCBI's taxonomy places the organism in Eukaryota, Metazoa, Chordata, Actinopteri, Esociformes, Esocidae.